Molecule: ribosomal RNA, 253 nt
Filed under: uncultured bacterium
Lineage: Bacteria
Description: partial 16S ribosomal RNA
Rfam family: Bacterial small subunit ribosomal RNA
Source: RNAcentral
UACGUAGGGUGCAAGCGUUAAUCGGAAUUACUGGGCGUAAAGCGCGUGUAGGCGGCCAACUAAGUCGGGCGUGAAAUCCCACGGCUCAACCGUGGAAGUGCACUCGAAACUGGAUGGCUAGAGUACUGCAGGGGAGACUGGAAUUCCUGGUGUAGCGGUGGAAUGCGCAGAUAUCAGGAGGAACACCGGUGGCGAAGGCGGGUCUCUGGGCAGUAACUGACGCUGAGGAGCGAAAGCGUGGGGAGCGAACAGG